RNAcentral lists this ribosomal RNA (465 nucleotides) under uncultured bacterium. Its description in RNAcentral is "partial 16S ribosomal RNA". It matches the Rfam family "Bacterial small subunit ribosomal RNA", at positions 28 to 507 of the family's 1533-position model. The record is from RNAcentral.
GAUGAACGCUGGCGGCGUGCUUAACACAUGCAAGUCGAACGGAAAGGCUCCUGCUUGCAGGGGUACUCGAGUGGCGAACGGGUGAGUAACACGUGGGUGAUCUGCCCUGCACUUCGGGAUAAGCCUGGGAAACUGGGUCUAAUACCGGAUAGGACGAUGGUUUGGAUGCCAUUGUGGAAAGUUUUUCGGUGUGGGAUGAGCUCGCGGCCUAUCAGCUUGUUGGUGGGGUAAUGGCCUACCAAGGCGUCGACGGGUAGCCGGCCUGAGAGGGUGUACGGCCACAUUGGGACUGAGAUACGGCCCAGACUCCUACGGGAGGCAGCAGUGGGGAAUAUUGCACAAUGGGCGCAAGCCUGAUGCAGCGACGCCGCGUGGGGGAUGACGGCCUUCGGGUUGUAAACUCCUUUCGCUAGGGACGAAGCGCAAGUGACGGUACCUGAAGAAGAAGCACCGGCUAACUACGUG